This 467-nucleotide ribosomal RNA is filed under the name uncultured bacterium. Its description in RNAcentral is "partial 16S ribosomal RNA". It matches the Rfam family "Bacterial small subunit ribosomal RNA", at positions 28 to 507 of the family's 1533-position model. The record is from RNAcentral.
GAUGAACGCUGACAGAAUGCUUAACACAUGCAAGUCAACUUGAAUUUGGGUUUUUAACUUAGGUUUGGGUGGCGGACGGGUGAGUAACGCGUAAAGAACUUGCCUCACAGCUAGGGACAACAUUUGGAAACGAAUGCUAAUACCUAAUAUUAUGAUAAUAGGGCAUCCUAUAAUUAUGAAAGCUAUAAGCGCUGUGAGAGAGCUUUGCGUCCCAUUAGCUAGUCGGAGAGGUAACGGCUCACCAAGGCGAUGAUGGGUAGCCGGCCUGAGAGGGUGAUCGGCCACAAGGGGACUGAGACACGGCCCUUACUCCUACGGGAGGCAGCAGUGGGGAAUAUUGGACAAUGGACCGAGAGUCUGAUCCAGCAAUUCUGUGUGCACGAUGAAGUUUUUCGGAAUGUAAAGUGCUUUCAGUUGGGAAGAAACAAAUGACGGUACCAACAGAAGAAGUGACGGCUAAAUACGUG